GACGAACGCUGGCGGCGUGCUUAACACAUGCAAGUCGAACGGAAAGGCCUGCUUUCCCUUGUGGAUUGCGGGUACUCGAGUGGCGAACGGGUGAGUAACACGUGAGUGAUCUGCCCCCAACUUGGGUAUAAGCCUGGGAAACUGGGUCUAAUUCCCGAUAGGACUGCAGGGUGGUGCCUGUGGUGGAAAACGAUUUUCUAGUGGUUGGGGAUGAGCUCGCGGCCUAUCAGCUUGUUGGUGGGGUAAUGGCCUACCAAGGCGGCGACGGGUAGCCGGCCUGGGAGGGUGGACGGCCACAUUGGGACUGAGAUACGGCCCAGACUCCUACGGGAGGCAGCAGUGGGGAAUAUUGCACAAUGGGCGGAAGCCUGAUGCAGCGACGCCGCGUGGGGGAUGACGGCCUUCGGGUUGUAAACUCCUUUCGACCGCGAGGAAGCCACCUGGUUGGAAGGGUGGUGACGGUAGUGGUAGAAGAAGCACCGGCUAACUACGG
This 493-nucleotide ribosomal RNA is filed under the name uncultured bacterium. Its description in RNAcentral is "partial 16S ribosomal RNA". It matches the Rfam family "Bacterial small subunit ribosomal RNA", at positions 28 to 506 of the family's 1533-position model. The record is from RNAcentral.